Molecule: non-coding RNA, 1200 nt
Organism: Odocoileus virginianus texanus
Lineage: Eukaryota; Metazoa; Chordata; Mammalia; Artiodactyla; Cervidae
Source: RefSeq, a predicted model, not a curated record
GCCCAGGGUGUCUGUGGGGAGGGAGGAGAGCGUCUUUACCAGGCUUUGCCCGUCUCUCUCUCUUGACUUCCCACAGUCUCUUCAGGCAAAGAUGAAAAUGGCUUCCCUCUCUUGGGGCCCUGUGAGGACAACGGGGCCUAAUUAAAAAAAAAAAAUCCCGGGAUGAAAAUGGCUAAGAGGGCAAUUUCCUCCUUGCAGAAUGGGAGAUCAAAUCAACGUUGGAGCAAUUAACAUAUGAGGGAGAGGUGGAAAGGGGGCCAGGCGUGUGGGUGCUGAUGACGGCCAGGCCGGGGAUUAAUCUCAAGGUCAGAUGGAGCUGUGGAUGACUUUCAGACACAGAGUACCUCCAGAAUUUCAGCAAGCCACCAGAAAGUGUUCACGUAUCUGAGACUGGUCUGUGCGACCCUUAGCUAGUAGCUGGAGUCGGCCAACAGUUUCUGACUGCAGGUUAUGAACAUCUCUGAUUAACUAAGAAGAGGGUGCUGUCUUCAUCCACACUCUUUACGUGGUACACAACACCUUUCCAGACGUCAGGUCCACGAGGGGGGAAACUGUAAACAGGUGGAGGAGAGUGAUUAAGGGAGCGAUCCGUCUUCUGUGAGGCCGGGGAGCGGCGCCUGCCGCCAGUGAGGACCCAGUCUCCGGGCUCAGGACGGGGGCCCUUCCCUCUCCUCUCGCUCCGGCUCUGUCCAGGGAGCUAAGGGGCUGAAGGCAGCAGGGGAGGCAGGCAGGACUGGGUCUGACCAGGGCACGUGGGGUGAUUGGCGGUGCCCUGUGCCCUCAGCCCGGCCGUAUUCCUGCUGCUUGCCGCUGAGCCUCACGCCAUGACCUGAGAAGCUGAGGCAUGGGUUACAGCCUCCUUCUUUACACUUGGGAGAAACCAAGGCCCAGUGGGUUCAGAGAAUGGGCCUAAACCUCACCAUGGGUUAACACAGACUGGGGUGGUGGAGCCAGCUGGAAAUAACAAGAAGAUUCCCCCACCUCCCACACCAGGCCUUCUGGAAAAUCUCCCCUGGCCUGGGGUAGUUCCCCUUUUAGAAGAAAGAGGCACUUUCAGGGCAUCACAUGUGCCCAGGCUCUGCUUAUACAAUGUAAAUGUCCCAGGAGUGCUGAUAGGUCAAGUGAGUGUGAGGCCCGCAGAGGAAAUAACUAAGAUUUCUGUCCCUGGAGGGACCCAAAAGCGCCCCAGAGAGAGCAUCU